This 468-nucleotide ribosomal RNA is filed under the name uncultured bacterium. Its description in RNAcentral is "partial 16S ribosomal RNA". It matches the Rfam family "Bacterial small subunit ribosomal RNA", at positions 28 to 507 of the family's 1533-position model. The record is from RNAcentral.
GACGAACGCUGGCGGCGUGCUUAACACAUGCCAGUCGAACGGAAAGGCCCUGCUUUUGUGGGGUGCUCGAGUGGCGAACGGGUGAGUAACACGUGAGUAACCUGCCCUUGACUUUGGGAUAACUUCAGGAAACUGGGGCUAAUACCGGAUAGGAGCUCCUGCUGCAUGGUGGGGGUUGGAAAGUUUCGGCGGUUGGGGAUGGGCUCGCGGCUUAUCAGCUUGUUGGUGGGGUAGUGGCUUACCAAGGCUUUGACGGGUAGCCGGCCUGAGAGGGUGACCGGCCACAUUGGGACUGAGAUACGGCCCAGACUCCUACGGGAGGCAGCAGUGGGGAAUAUUGCACAAUGGGCGGAAGCCUGAUGCAGCAACGCCGCGUGCGGGAUGACGGCCCUCGGGUUGUAAACCGCUUUCGCCUGUGACGAAGCGUGAGUGACGGUAAUGGGUAAAGAAGCACCGGCUAACUACGUG